This 87-nucleotide transfer RNA is filed under the name bacterium. RNAcentral's name for it is "tRNA-Tyr". It matches the Rfam family "tRNA". Rfam says of the family: Transfer RNA (tRNA) molecules are approximately 80 nucleotides in length. The record is from RNAcentral.
CGAAGCGUGGCAGAGCAGCAAAUGCAGCGCGCUGUAAACGCGACGCCCUUACGGGCUACGAAGGUGCGAGUCCUUCCGCUUCGACCA